AAUUUGGCACAAUUCAGCAUUUGUAAAAAUUUGCACGUCACCAGAGAUUGCAUCAUUACCGAACCAUUUUACACGUUUUUUUUUUACAUGUCUUUACUUGGUUUUAGCAAGAUGAACUGAAUGAAAUGGGUACUGAGGGUUAAAUACCAGCACAACCUUUUGUUUUAGAAUUUGCAUUUGCGAUUUGCAUCUUCAGAAACUAUAUGUUUGAUGUCAGUAGCAAAAGGGCUUGGUAUUUUGCUUGUUAGAUUAACUCAUUUUCUUCAGUUUUACUGCACUCAGUGUGUCCAAAGUAUGAUGAGCACAGCAGAAUGCAAAAUACUGGAUAGGAUAAGAAAAACAGUAAGCUCACAUAUGAGAGCCAAUGAUACUGAUAUUGGUACAUAGCCCAACACAGUGCAUCCAGAAAGUACACGACUGCUGGUGUUUCAUCAUGUUACAUCCUCAUUCCAAAAUGAUUAAAUUCAUUAUUUACCUAAAAAGAUCCACACAAUACCCCAUAGUGACACGGUUAAUAAAAGGUUUGCUUUAAAUUCUUUUAAAUUUACUAAAAAUAGCAACCAAAUAUGUUCAUAUAUGUAUUCAAAGCCCCCGCUAUGACACUCAAAAUCAUGUACAUCCUGGUUCCACUGGUCAUCUGAUGAUUCUAUAACUUGAUUGGAGUCCACCUGUCUAAAUAAGGCCCCACAGUUAACAGUGUAUGUUGGAGCACAAACAAAGCAAGGAAUUGUCUGUAGACCUCUGACACAGGAUUAUAUUGAGGCACAAAUCUGGAGAAGGGUACAGAAAAAUUACUCUUCAUCAAAAAUAUCACCAUCAUCUGUAAAUAGAAGUUCUGCCUGAGUCAGGUAGGUGACCAAGAAAGCGAUUGUCAGUCUGACAGCUCCAGCGUGGAGAGAGGAGAAACUUCCAGAAGGAUAAUCUUUUCUCCAGCAUUACGCCAAUCAGGCCUGUAUGGGAGAGGGUCAGACAGAAGUCAAUUCUCAAUAAAAGGCACAAGACAGCCCACCUGGAGUUUACCAAAAGUCACUUGAAGGACUCUCAGACCAUGAGAAACAAAGAUUGAACUAAAUGCUAAACAUCAUGUCUGGUGGAAACAAGGUAUCGCUCAUCACCUGGCCAAUACCAUCCCUACAGUGAAGCUUGGUGGUGGUAGAAUCAUGCUGGGAGAUGUUUUUUUGGCAGCAGGAACUGGGAGACUAGUCAGCCUUAGCUUGGAUCGCAGACUGGGGCGAAGGUUCAUCUUCCAACAGGACAACAACACUAAGCACACAGCCAAAAUAACAAAGGAGUGACUUUAGCCAGAGCUCAGACUUGAACAUGAUUGAAGUUUGAGAUCUGAAAAUGGCUGUGUACCAACUCCCACUCUGUCCAACCUGAUGGAGCUUGAGAGUUUCUGCAAAGAAGAAUGAGAGAAACUGCCCAAAGAUAGGUGUGCAAAGCGAGUAGCAUCAAACUGAGCAAAGACUUUGAAUACUUACAUGGCAUAUUUUUUUUCUAUUUUUAAUAAAAUUGCAAGAAUUUCAAGCAAACCUUUUUACUCAUUAUGAAGUGAUAAUCAAGUCCAUGUUGGAACUAGAAAGUGCAUUUUCUGAAGAAACUGCAGUGUGAAUGCUUGAAUCUGAAUGUAUGGACUGAAAUGAAUUAAUUGCUGAAUUUUGAGUUAAAAAUAUUGAAUGAGAUUUAAAAAAAACAACAAAAAAAAACGAAUUUAACCUGAAAACAAAGGUGCUGAACUGCUAAAGGCUGAAGGUUACACAGAAGAAGAAGUUGGAAAAAAGCUGAAAAUGUUUUAAUUGUAAAUUAGAAAAACCUAAGAAAUGAGAAAAGAACAUUUAGAGUCAGAAAACAUCUGAAAGAAUAUUAAAAGGUCAUAUUCUUUGAAUCACUGAAUGACUCAAAUGUGAUCCCUCCACUUUGAUCCACACAGUUUAAAAAGUUUAAAUGCCUGAGCUUUGAAAGACACGGUGUUGGAAAGAGAACAAUAAUGGCGACAAUUUGAGGGUAAAAUGAUGGCUGUAACACUGUGGACACAGCAGCAGUUGAAAGAGAAGUGCUUAAGAUGAAUCUUGGCACAGUGGCAGGCAGAGCUCGUUAAGCAGGCAGGUGUGAGCCUGGUUGCUAUAGUGACCGCACCCAAUGGCUCCAUACACACGUACACAGACAUGCGCCUCACUUUUGCUGCUUAAAAUGAACAGAAAAGUCAGGCCGAAACAAAUCGUUCCCAAAUGAAAAGUAAAAGUCGUAUUGACAAAAUUCUUUCACCGUGAGCGACAGCAAUGUCUAGUCUACCUAAUUCUCAGUUUUCAUGCCUGUGGAGCUUAUUAUAUGGACGUGGUGACAGUGGAAAGACACCAUGCUCUUCUGAUUUUCAAACGAACCUUCUGAGCCAUUUUAACAUUAGAGUCUAUGGAAGAGUUGGAGGGAGGAGGCUGUGCAUUGGUGACAUUUAUGAAAGAACCAUAACACCUAGGACAAUAGUAAACACAUUGGAUGAAAGAGGACAGCGAUGGCUACGUUUUGAGGGUAAAAUGGCGGCUGUAGAGCAAACGCUGCGGACACAGCAGCAGUUUUAAAAAAGAUUUUAAGAUUAAUUUUUUUGCUCCUCUCACUCUAGCAGUUGAGCUCUCUCACUCUAGCCCCAACAUUCCGUCCCAUACACACCCAUUAUAAACUCUGAAACGGGU
Long non-coding RNA from Astatotilapia calliptera (eastern happy), 2687 nucleotides. The record is from Ensembl. Lineage: Eukaryota; Metazoa; Chordata; Actinopteri; Cichliformes; Cichlidae.